RNAcentral lists this unclassified non-coding RNA (314 nucleotides) under Hevea brasiliensis (rubber tree). Lineage: Eukaryota; Viridiplantae; Streptophyta; Magnoliopsida; Malpighiales; Euphorbiaceae. The record is from RNAcentral.
GGAGAGCACUGGGAUUCCAUUUCUUCCUACUCCAAUGGGCAAAGGGUUGUUGCCUGAUACACAUGAGCUAGCGGCUACCGCCGCUAGGUCAUUGGCGAUUGGUAAGUGCGAUGUUGCGCUUGUGGUUGGCGCAAGGCUUAAUUGGUUGUUGCAUUUUGGCGAGCCACCUAAAUGGUCCAAGGAUGUGAAGUUCAUCUUGGUUGAUAUUUGCAAGGAGGAGGUUGAAUUAAGAAAGCCCCAUUUGGGUUUGAUUGGCGAUGCAAAAGAGGUAUUGGAAUCCAUAAACAGGGAGAUUAAGGAUAACCCAUUUUGUC